GAUGAACGCUAGCGGCAGGCCUAAUACAUGCAAGUCGAACGGGAUCUGAGGGUAGCUUGCUACCCGAUUUGAGAGUGGCGCACGGGUGCGUAACGCGUGAGCAACCUACCCAUAUCAGGGGGAUAGCCCGAAGAAAUUCGGAUUAACACCGCAUAAUAAUACGCUAACACAUGUUGAUGUAUUUAAAUAUUUAUAGGAUAUGGAUGGGCUCGCGUGACAUUAGCUAGUUGGUAAGGUAACGGCUUACCAAGGCGACGAUGUCUAGGGGCUCUGGGAGGACAAGCCCCCACACGGGUACUGAGACACGGACGAGACUCCUACGGGAGGCAGCAGAAAGGAAUAUUGGUCAAUGGGCGCAAGCCUGAACCAGCCAUGCCGCGUGCAGGAUGACUGCCCUAUGGGUUGUAAACUGCUUUUGUUAGGGAAUAAACCUUCUUACGUGUAAGGAGCUGAAUGUACCUAAAGAAUAAGGAUCGGCUAACUCCGUGCCAGCAGCCGCCGUAA
Molecule: ribosomal RNA, 504 nt
Filed under: uncultured bacterium
Lineage: Bacteria
Description: partial 16S ribosomal RNA
Rfam family: Bacterial small subunit ribosomal RNA
Source: RNAcentral